GCCGCGUUGGCUCAAUGGUAGAGCGUCGCCCUCCUACGGUGUGGGCCGCAUGACAGGCGAAGGCUGUGGGUUCGAAUCCCAUGCGUGGUA
This is a transfer RNA of Rhizoctonia solani 123E, 90 nucleotides long. It matches the Rfam family "tRNA". From Rfam's summary of the family: Transfer RNA (tRNA) molecules are approximately 80 nucleotides in length. Their secondary structure includes four short double-helical elements and three loops (D, anti-codon, and T loops). Lineage: Eukaryota; Fungi; Basidiomycota; Agaricomycetes; Cantharellales; Ceratobasidiaceae. The record is from Rfam.